This 231-nucleotide ribosomal RNA is filed under the name uncultured bacterium. RNAcentral describes it as "partial 16S ribosomal RNA". It matches the Rfam family "Bacterial small subunit ribosomal RNA", at positions 89 to 334 of the family's 1533-position model. The record is from RNAcentral.
AGUAAAGUGGCGCACGGGUGAGUAACACGUGACUAACCUACCCUUGAGUGGGGGAUAACCUCGGGAAACCGGGGCUAAUACCGCAUAAUAUCGAGAGAUCAAAGGAGCAAUUCGCUUAAGGAGGGGGUCGCGGCUGAUUAGCUAGUUGGUGAGGUAAUGGCUCACCAAGGCUAUGAUCAGUAUCCGGCCUGAGAGGGCGCACGGACACACUGGAACUGAAACACGGUCCAG